Long non-coding RNA from Ornithorhynchus anatinus (platypus), 557 nucleotides. RefSeq lists it as uncharacterized. Lineage: Eukaryota; Metazoa; Chordata; Mammalia; Monotremata; Ornithorhynchidae. The transcript is spliced from 5 exons. The record is from RefSeq and is a predicted model, not a curated record.
GGAAGAAGAGAGGAGGAAGCGCGGGAGACGUUAGUGUGAGGCAACUGCCUCAGAAUGCUCGCUGAAGGUCUCAGAAGAAGCAAGUAAGAAAGUGUAGGCGACUCAGCACAACCCACUACCAUGAUGAGAAAAACCGCACAUGGACAGCUGACUGUGAUAAAAUUCGUCAUCAGCAGGGCCCCCUUCAAACAGUGUGAAGCAGGGGUGAGGGGAUUGCCAGAAGUCUGGGAGAAGAAGAAAGCACAAGAAGUGAAAGAGGAUCACCUACUGCGAGGCCCUAAACAAAAGACAGGUUACCAAUGCCACUCCAAAGCAGUGCAGUGUCACUGGACCAACCAGAAGAGGAGCCUGAAUGCCAGCAGGAUGCCCAAGUAGCUGCUGUGAGAUGAGGUCGUCAGCCAGACUCAGAACCAGAAGUCAAUAGUUCCAGGGACUCCUAAAAAAGACACCUCCCAUCAUCAUCAUCGUCAAGCAGGAUUUCUUCAGGCCUCAUUUGUUCAUGGGGCCGGGGAAUCAUAAGAAGCAAGAUAAACAGGUUCAUUCCCAGCUCUCCAGGA